RNAcentral lists this transfer RNA (76 nucleotides) under bacterium. RNAcentral describes it as "tRNA-Ala". It matches the Rfam family "tRNA". Rfam says of the family: Transfer RNA (tRNA) molecules are approximately 80 nucleotides in length. Their secondary structure includes four short double-helical elements and three loops (D, anti-codon, and T loops). RNAcentral also lists the same sequence under 3 other names. The record is from RNAcentral.
GGGGACGUAGCUCAGUUGGGAGAGCGCCGCACUCGCAUUGCGGAGGUCGGGAGUUCGAAUCUCCUCGUCUCCACCA